RNAcentral lists this ribosomal RNA (477 nucleotides) under uncultured bacterium. RNAcentral's name for it is "partial 16S ribosomal RNA". It matches the Rfam family "Bacterial small subunit ribosomal RNA", at positions 899 to 1397 of the family's 1533-position model. The record is from RNAcentral.
ACUCAAAGGAAUUGACGGGGGCCCGCACAAGCAGCGGAGCGUGUGGUUUAAUUCGACGCAACACGCAGGACCUUACCCAGACUGGACAUGCACCUGCACGCCGCUGAAAGGCGGUCGCCUUCGAGGGUGGUGCACAGAUGCUGCAUGGCUGUCGUCAGCUCGUGUCGUGAGAUGUUGGGUUCAGUCCCGCAACGAGCGCAACCCCUGUGGCCAGUUAUUCGUGUCUGGCCAGACGGCCCUUCGGGGAGGAAGGCGGGGAUGACGUCAAGUCCGCAUGGCUCUUACGUCUGGGGCUACACACACGCUACAAUGGCCGUCGCAAUGCGUUGCUACUUCGCAAGGAGACGCUAAUCGCCAAGGACGGUCUCAGUGCAGAUCGGGGGCUGCAACUCGCCCCCGUGAAGGCGGAGUUGCUAGUAACCGCGUAUCAGCGAUGGCGCGGUGAAUACGUACCCGGGCCUUGCACACACCGCCCGU